This 423-nucleotide unclassified non-coding RNA is filed under the name fungal sp. RNAcentral describes it as "partial internal transcribed spacer region". The stretch from base 1 to 46 matches the Rfam family "Eukaryotic small subunit ribosomal RNA", at positions 1786 to 1831 of the family's 1831-position model. Lineage: Eukaryota; Fungi. The record is from RNAcentral.
AAGUCGUAACAAGGUUUCCGUAGGUGAACCUGCGGAAGGAUCAUUAACACGUAUCCAAACGUUAAAACCCCCCCCGUGAAUCCUUGCACAAUCAAUGACACUUUCCGACACUGACUGCUUGGAGAAACAUUGCCUAUAGAACUACCGCUCGAUUGUAACUGUUCCAAUGUUCGCACGUAGCCAGAGGUCUCUGAAUCACUACAACUUUCCGGGCUAUGAUUUAUCAGAGAUUGCGAACUACGCGGGUUACAAGAGCAGGAUGAAGGUAGCGCUUCUACGAUUCCUGUAGACCGUACACUCGGGCAGCAGCUUUGCCAAAGGGUCCCCAUGCCCCCUAAUAACCCCACAGUUUAAUGUGAAGCUCAAUGUAAUACAUUGGGUAAAAAAACCGAACAACUGUUAACAAUGGAUAUCUUGGUUCUC